ACUGGGAUUAGAUACCCCACUAUGCUUAGCCUUAAACAUAAAUAAUUUAUUAAACAAAAUUAUUCGCCAGAGAACUACUAGCAACAGCUUAAAACUCAAAGGACUUGGCGGUGCUUUAAACCCCCCUAGAGGAGCCUGUUCUAUAAUCGA
This 150-nucleotide ribosomal RNA is filed under the name Ursus arctos pruinosus. RNAcentral describes it as "partial 12S ribosomal RNA". The record is from RNAcentral. Lineage: Eukaryota; Metazoa; Chordata; Mammalia; Carnivora; Ursidae.